RNAcentral lists this non-coding RNA (23 nucleotides) under Cricetulus griseus (Chinese hamster). Lineage: Eukaryota; Metazoa; Chordata; Mammalia; Rodentia; Cricetidae. The record is from RNAcentral.
AUUGUAAGACAUGGUGAGGGAGG